This 682-nucleotide ribosomal RNA is filed under the name uncultured Bacilli bacterium. RNAcentral's name for it is "bacterial SSU rRNA". It matches the Rfam family "Bacterial small subunit ribosomal RNA", at positions 62 to 704 of the family's 1533-position model. Lineage: Bacteria; Bacillati; Bacillota; Bacilli. The record is from RNAcentral.
UCGAGCGAGCUUGCCUAGAUGAAUUUGGUGCUUGCACCAGAUGAAACUAGAUACAAGCGUGCGGCGGACGGGUGAGUAACACGUGGGUAACCUGCCCAAGAGACUGGGAUAACACCUGGAAACAGAUGCUAAUACCGGAUAACAACACUAGACGCAUGUCUAGAGUUUAAAAGAUGGUUCUGCUAUCACUCUUGGAUGGACCUGCGGUGCAUUAGCUAGUUGGUAAGGUAACGGCUUACCAAGGCAAUGAUGCAUAGCCGAGUUGAGAGACUGAUCGGCCACAUUGGGACUGAGACACGGCCCAAACCCCUACGGGAGGCAGCAGUAGGGAAUCUUCCACAAUGGACGCAAGUCUGAUGGAGCAACGCCGCGUGAGUGAAGAAGGGUUUCGGCUCGUAAAGCUCUGUUGGUAGUGAAGAAAGAUAGAGGUAGUAACUGGCCUUUAUUUGACGGUAAUUACUUAGAAAGUCACGGCUAACUACGUGCCAGCAGCCGCGGUAAUACGUAGGUGGCAAGCGUUGUCCGGAUUUAUUGGGCGUAAAGCGAGUGCAGGCGGUUCAAUAAGUCUGAUGUGAAAGCCUUCGGCUCAACCGGAGAAUUGCAUCAGAAACUGUUGAACUUGAGUGCAGAAGAGGAGAGUGGAACUCCAUGUGUAGCGGUGGAAUGCGUAGAUAUAUGGAAG